RNAcentral lists this unclassified non-coding RNA (265 nucleotides) under Hevea brasiliensis (rubber tree). The record is from RNAcentral. Lineage: Eukaryota; Viridiplantae; Streptophyta; Magnoliopsida; Malpighiales; Euphorbiaceae.
GAAAGACGAUCAAACAAUUCCCAAUCAUGGUCCUUGCGGAUCGGAUCAUCCAUAUAAUAUACAAAAAGAAACUCCAGAUAUUUGAUAUCUUUUUCUUUGAAUGAGAUCUCAAUUCCAGCAACGGUUUCAUUAGAUAUCUUACAACUAGAAUCCCUCUUUUUUCCGAUCCAGUUCCUCCACCACCGCGAACCCCAGUUAGAUUCAGACAUGAUACACUUUUUAGUUAUUGGGAGAACCCAAGUACUCUCUUUCAGAUCCAGGAAAA